ACUCCUACGGGAGGCAGCAGUGGGGAAUAUUGGACAAUGGGCGAAAGCCUGAUCCAGCCAUGCCGCGUGUGUGAAGAAGGUCUUCGGAUUGUAAAGCACUUUAAGUUGGGAGGAAGGGCAGUAAGUUAAUACCUUGCUGUUUUGACGUUACCAACAGAAUAAGCACCGGCUAACUUCGUGCCAGCAGCCGCGGUAAUACGAAGGGUGCAAGCGUUAAUCGGAAUUACUGGGCGUAAAGCGCGCGUAGGUGGUUCAGCAAGUUGGAUGUGAAAUCCCCCGGGCUCAACCUGGGAACUGCAUCCAAAACUACUGAGCUAGAGUACGGUAGAGGGUGUGGAAUUUCCUGUGUAGCGGUGAAAUGCGUAGAUAUAGGAAGGAACACCAGUGGCGAAGGCGACCACUGGACUGAUACUGACACUGAGGUGCGAAAGCGUGGGAGCAAACAGGAUUAGAUA
RNAcentral lists this ribosomal RNA (455 nucleotides) under uncultured bacterium. RNAcentral describes it as "bacterial SSU rRNA". It matches the Rfam family "Bacterial small subunit ribosomal RNA", at positions 335 to 784 of the family's 1533-position model. The record is from RNAcentral.